This 931-nucleotide long non-coding RNA is filed under the name Zea mays. RNAcentral describes it as "long non-coding RNA (ZMAY_LNC000191)". Lineage: Eukaryota; Viridiplantae; Streptophyta; Magnoliopsida; Poales; Poaceae. The record is from RNAcentral.
AAUACAUUUGAAAUCAUUUGACUAUCGAUCUGUUGACUUGUUGAUGUCUCAGCCUAUUGACAUCUUUCCUGAAAGCUUGCUAAUCUCUAUUUUGAUCUGUAUUGGUAGAAGGUAACACCACUUUCUAUUUUGUUAAUUUAUUAGUUCAAUGGACCCCAUAUGGACCCAUCGUUAGUUUUAGAAUGCUUUGUUUGAAAUAUCUGAUGACCUCAGAGCAUGCUUUGAAUGUUGUUCCUAUGCAUCAUAGUGUUUUAGUUGGCUAGAAGUCGUUACUACUGAUCAUUUGGCUUUUGAUGUACCUAGUGGCCACUACCUUAUACUAUAUACAAUUGGGAUGCUUAGAAGCAUAUAACUUAUCAAUUGUAGGGAAGAAUUGGACAUACCAUUACGCAGCAUCAACGUCUGUGGAACCAGCAGCAUCGUCAUCGGUUAUGACUUCAUCUCUAAAAAGUUUCUUGGCAGCCUUCUUGGAAGGUGAUGUGCGAGACCUUUGUAAAUUUUGUUCCCAUGUCAUUCAUGUAAGAGCGAUGUCAUUAUAUGGGAAUAAUAGUGUAGGCAAUUUUCUUGGCAUGAAGCUAACCUUUUUCCGGUAACACUUUUGUCAGUCUUGUUUGUAGAUCCAUCUAGCACACUGUAAGCGUCAUCCUGCAAAUUUGCCAGUUCUAGAGGCAGCUGGAACAAUGCAGAGGGCAUAACAUGCAUGCUAAGGUAAAUGGAUGCAUAGAUGAAUCAUAUUUAGACAUUUUGUUGAGGAAAUGGAAGCUGCUUGUAAGCAUACACAGCAACGGAAAAAUGUUUUUUCAUGUUAACUCAGCAAGAGGACAAGAUACAAACACUGAGGAUAAGCAACUAAUAUUGAUGACUGUGACAUGGAGUUCAUACCAGGCGGAGAGUGUUGGCACCAGGGGUGCUGUGGGCUGCUGAUGGCGUC